This 375-nucleotide ribosomal RNA is filed under the name uncultured organism. Its description in RNAcentral is "partial 16S ribosomal RNA". It matches the Rfam family "Bacterial small subunit ribosomal RNA", at positions 527 to 896 of the family's 1533-position model. The record is from RNAcentral.
GUAGGUGGCAAGCGUUGUCCGGGAAUUAUUGGGGCGUAAAGCGCGCGCAGGCGGUUCUUUAAGUCUGAUGUGAAAGCCCACGGGCUCAACCGUGGAGGGUCAUUGGAAACUGGAGAACUUGAGUACAGAAGAGGAAAGCGGAAUUCCACGUGUAGCGGUGAAAUGCGUAGAGAUGUGGAGGAACACCAGUGGCGAAGGCGGCUUUCUGGUCUGUAACUGACGCAGAGGCGCGAAAGCGUGGGGAGCAAACAGGAUUAGAUACCCUGGUAGUCCACGCCGUAAACGAUGAGUGCUAAGUGUUAGGGGGUUUCCGCCCCUUAGUGCUGCAGCUAACGCAUUAAGCACUCCGCCUGGGGAGUACGGCCGCAAAGGCUG